AUUGAACGCUGGCGGAAUGCUUUACACAUGCAAGUCGAACGGCAGCACGGGGCAACCUGGUGGCGAGUGGCGAACGGGUGAGUAAUACAUCGGAACGUGCGCAGUCGUGGGGGAUAACGUAGCGAAAGUUACACUAAUACCGCAUACGAUCUAAGGAUGAAAGAGGGGGAUCGCAAGACCACGCGCGAUUGGAGCGGCCGAUGUCAGAUUAGGUAGUUGGUGGGGUAAGGGCCCACCAAGCCGACGAUCUGUAGCUGGUCGGAGAGGACGACCAGCCACACUGGGACGGAGACACGGCCCAGACUCCUACGGGAGGCAGCAGUGGGGAAUUUUGGACAAUGGGCGCAAGCCUGAUCCAGCCAUUCCGCGUGCAGGAUGAAGGCCUUCGGGUUGUAAACUGCUUUUGUACGGGGCGAAAAGGCUCUCUCUAAUACAGGGGGCUCAUGACGGUACCGUAAGAAUAAGCACCGGCUAACUACGUGCCAGCAGCCGCCGUAA
Molecule: ribosomal RNA, 498 nt
Filed under: uncultured bacterium
Lineage: Bacteria
Description: partial 16S ribosomal RNA
Rfam family: Bacterial small subunit ribosomal RNA
Source: RNAcentral